UGUUGUUGACGACCCACAUGGAGCCGGAUUCCUGUGACUUGGGGCUUCCCCGCGGACCACAUGCCCUAGCGCACGAUUUAGUUGUGCUUGGUCACCUCCCUAGAUAGGUCAGGCGCUACUAUUGCCGCCCGCGAUGGUGUAUUGAGGUUUGACCGGAGGGGGCGACGAGCACGCCUUCCUAUUUGAGGGAGGGGCACUGGGUAGAGGCCUCUUCGUCGUGGGAGCCCUCUUAGCAGUCUGGCUUGGCUUCGUCGACAUGGUAUGCCGCGAUGACAGCCUUGUAGGCGUGCUCGAGGGUGCGCACCGCGUCCUUCUAGUCGCAGCAGAUGCUGAUGGUGCCGCCACAAACGGUCAUCUUGACGAGGCGAUAGGCAUGGUGCCUCACCACCAUGAACCUGGAUAGCGUCGGGUAGCCCAGGAUGCAAUUGUACAGCAGGACGAUGUGCUCCACGUCGAAUUUGAUGAACUCCAUGUGGUAGGUAUCGCGGGUGCCGAAGGUGAUGGGAAGGUGCACCUGCCCCAGGGGAACAGUAGAGCCAUCGAUGACAUCGUAGAUGUCCUGGUACGCAUCAGGCGCUCGUAUGGCACUUGGACCAUCUCGAAUGUCUCCAUAGAGAGCACAUAAUGCCCUGACACAUCCUCGAUGAUCGUCCUGGUGAUGGCCACAUUGCUGACAGUGGGGGAGCACAGCAGCGGGAUGGUGCCCAUGGUCUUCAUGGUCUUGGUA
Molecule: long non-coding RNA, 727 nt
Filed under: Hordeum vulgare
Lineage: Eukaryota; Viridiplantae; Streptophyta; Magnoliopsida; Poales; Poaceae
Description: long non-coding RNA (HVUL_LNC000949)
Source: RNAcentral